Molecule: ribosomal RNA, 253 nt
Filed under: uncultured bacterium
Lineage: Bacteria
Description: partial 16S ribosomal RNA
Rfam family: Bacterial small subunit ribosomal RNA
Source: RNAcentral
UACGUAGGGUGCGAGCGUUGUCCGGAAUCACUGGGCGUAAAGCGCACGUAGGCGGACUCUUAAGUCGGUGGUGAAAUCCUGGAGCUCAACUCCAGAACUGCCUUCGAUACUGGGAGUCUUGAGUCCGGGAGAGGUGAGUGGAACUGCGAGUGUAGAGGUGAAAUUCGUAGAUAUUCGCAAGAACACCAGUGGCGAAGGCGGCUCACUGGCCCGGUACUGACGCUGAGGUGCGAAAGCGUGGGGAGCAAACAGG